CAGACAAAGAGGAAAGACCCGAGCCAACGCGUCAAUAGCUCACUGCCUACAAUGGUAGUUAAAGCGAGGAAACACUCAUCCAAUCCGCUUGGCCCUUUCUCGCCGGAGCAUUUUUCACACAUUCCGGGUUAGUCAAACACGUUUGAGCAUCAUCCUGGCAGCUGAGCUUGAGGCAACGACAAUCCACGAACCCGCAGUGCAGGAAAAUGGCUUGAUGAAUAGAUCGAGGCUGAAAGGGAGGUGAGAAGGUACAGGAAGAAGUUGUUGUUCCAUAACGCCACAGAGACGGGAGGAUUUUGAUGAAAAAAUGAGGAAAAGGAGGCGAUGGAACAGGAGACCGGGCGGCAGAAAGGAUUCAGAAGGAUUGUUGAUGGAAG
Molecule: long non-coding RNA, 377 nt
Organism: Gasterosteus aculeatus aculeatus (three-spined stickleback)
Lineage: Eukaryota; Metazoa; Chordata; Actinopteri; Perciformes; Gasterosteidae
Source: Ensembl